UACUAUUUAGGAUUUCACACCUUCAGUUCAUUCUUGUUUUCUCGGAACUUUUCUCAGCCGCAAUGCGCACUCUUCAUCCUUCAAGUCUUCACAGUUCAUCCUUCAAUGUCUUCAUUCCAUCAGUAGUAGAAGUUGCACUUGUGCCAUUAUCAGGGCUUCUGAUAUAUAUAUAUGUUUGUUAAUAAAAGUUACAUUUUCCAUUACUAGAAGUUGCAUUUGUGCCAUUAACCGGGGAAUUUGGGUUAGCGGAUCAAACUAUGGCUAUGCUUGGAAUCUGACUAUGCAAACUUCAAUGAUUGAAAUUCAGAUUUCGAGGUUCCUUCAGUUUUUCUUUCAAUGGCUUCUAGCUCUCAUAUCCAGAGAUGGAUUGGGUACGAGGCAAGUAGGUGUUCAGAUGAACUACAGUUGCGUAUUGAUCCGAUGCAUGGGGACCUAGAUGACGAGAUUACAGGUCUCCGCAAACAAGUAAAACAGCUCAGAAAUGUAGCACAAGAAAUUGAGUCUGAAGCAAAGUUUCAGAAUGAUUUUAUUAACCAACUGAGUACUGACGAUAGAAAGGGGAGCAUAUUUACCUGGUCGCCGAAAGAUAAAUCUUCUGACUGAACUACACUGAGAGCGCAUCCUUCUACCCUUGCACAUUCCUCUGCAAAUAUAUCAGUCACAGCAGUCGUAUUCUUGAACGAGAUUAAGGCCACUGUAAUUCCUAGCCUUGCCGCACAUCAGGUCAAACACCUUUAGCAUACUGUCUUGCUUCAUUUGGCCGAGAUCAUGCCUCGUGACAAUGGCUUUCUCAAAACAGUAAGCAAAUUACAUAGAUCAAAGCUCAAGCAGGGGUGAAGAACAACACGAGACAGUUGAGCAGGAGCAUCAUCCUGGAAGGAUCAAACCAUAUGAUGCAUGUGAAGCUUGCUCCAGCUUGAUUAGCCUAACAUGAUCGAUGACUCUUCUAACCCAUUCUGUAAAAUAGGUCUCGUUGUGUCCGACCAUGCCAUCUUUAUGAAAAAGAAAGCACUGCAGACGAUCUUUGGGGGAUGGACACUCCUUUCCCAUUGGAUCCCACCAUGCACCCUGAUGUUUCAUCCCUGAUUGAUUUGCCAUCCAGUGUGAUUGCCUGGAACUACUGCAAGUAGGGUAAUGUGAAUAGCUCGUUGGUAUUAGUUGCUUGAAAGAUAGAUCGUCUGACUGAACUACUUGCAGAAUGCAGCCUUUCACUCUUGCACAUUCCUUUGCAAAUAUGUCAGUUACAGCAGGAUUAAUGCCACAGUAACUCCUAGCCUUGCAGCGCAACAAGUCGAAUACCUUCAGCUUAUUCUCCUGCCCCAUUUGACUUGUCUCAUGCCUCAUGACAACGGCUUUCUCAAAACAGUAAGUUCUCCCCAGUGGAAUAACACCCAUCUUGCUGGCUUCAAACACUUAUUUUUCAUUGACCAUCUCACAAAAGGAGCCACUGCAGAUAAUCCAUGCCAUAGAUUAUGGUGGUCGUAAUAUGUGUAGGAUACGAAUGUUAAGCCUUCCAAUAGAAUAGCAGAGUCGGGAAGACUUUCUCGCCAUGCCAAAGCAUAUGAAUUCUUUGUGCCAUCCUUAGUAUCCCGUCCCUUAAAGCAAAGAAGCCGUCCUUUGGAUGCUUUGGAAGGGAAAUACAAGUGUUCUGCUUCAUUUUCCUCGUGUGUAUCGUUCAAAGAGCUCAUAAACCAUGUGUGGCCAGUUGUGGCUGUUUCUCUAAAUCUAAGGUCCUGAAGGGGAAGGAAAGUGACAGAGUCUUUGAGCUUUGCCGUCAUGGUUUCCUUGACAUCAGAGUAAUUCUCUUGGGAACGAAAAGCACAUCUUUGAGACCUUGCUGAUAAAAAGAAAUCAAAAGGAUAUGAAUACUGGAUAUGGAAAAGGAUGACAAAAAGAAACAAGGUGAAAAAGAAGAUGCUGAUGAAUUUUGUGGUUAAAAAUUUGUUCUUGCUCCGAGUGCACAACUUCAGAUGAUGCUCCAUUUUCAUGAGUUUUGCUCGAUAUGAAUCUUUUUAACUGGCAAAGAGAAGCAACAUAAGACUAUUUCUCUGGCUUUUAGGAGCAAACCAGUCUCGAGAUUGGAAGUUAAUCUAUACUAUAACUAGUUACGGAUAUAUGCUCGGUGAAUACUUUAAUUCAGAAAUGGAGCCAUGUUUCGCGUUA
Nicotiana attenuata is the source of this 2163-nucleotide RNA transcript. It is a transcript of the gene named bet1-like protein At4g14600, with no coding region annotated. The record is from RefSeq and is a predicted model, not a curated record. The transcript is spliced from 12 exons. NCBI's taxonomy places the organism in Eukaryota, Viridiplantae, Streptophyta, Magnoliopsida, Solanales, Solanaceae.